GGGCCUGUAGCUCACCUGGGAGAGCGCCUCCAUGGCAUGGAGGAGGUAGAGGGUUCGAUCCCCUUCAGGUCCACCA
RNAcentral lists this transfer RNA (76 nucleotides) under Bacilli bacterium. RNAcentral's name for it is "tRNA-Ala". It matches the Rfam family "tRNA". Rfam says of the family: Transfer RNA (tRNA) molecules are approximately 80 nucleotides in length. Their secondary structure includes four short double-helical elements and three loops (D, anti-codon, and T loops). Further hydrogen bonds mediate the characteristic L-shaped molecular structure. tRNAs have two regions of fundamental functional importance: the anti-codon, which is responsible for specific mRNA codon recognition, and the 3' end, to which the tRNAs corresponding amino acid is attached (by aminoacyl-tRNA synthetases). tRNAs cope with the degeneracy of the genetic code in two manners: having more than one tRNA (with a specific anti-codon) for a particular amino acid; and 'wobble' base-pairing, i.e. permitting non-standard base-pairing at the 3rd anti-codon position. RNAcentral also lists the same sequence under 2 other names. The record is from RNAcentral. Lineage: Bacteria; Bacillati; Bacillota; Bacilli.